RNAcentral lists this long non-coding RNA (3928 nucleotides) under Sus scrofa (pig). RNAcentral describes it as "lncRNA (ENSSSCG00015058548.1)". Lineage: Eukaryota; Metazoa; Chordata; Mammalia; Artiodactyla; Suidae. The record is from RNAcentral.
UUUUAAAAUGUUUUGCAGAAUAGUUAAAGUCUGGAUUAGACCCUUUGAUUAAAAGUCUGCUCCUUGAGAUGUAAAGGAUUGGAAGAAGUCUUCUGCAUCUUUGGUGUUCUCUCACAGAGACAUGAAGCACUCUCAUAGUUAUGUGCAUGAUAGAAAAUAUUAAGAAUCAAGAGAGGAGUUCCUGUCGUGGCGCAGUGGUUAACGAAUCCGACUAGGAACCAUGAGGUUGCGGGUUCGAUCCCUGCCCUUGCUCAGUGGGUUAACAAUCCGGCGUUGCCGUGAGCUGUGGUGUGGGUCGCAGACGCGGCUCAGAUCCCGCGUUGCUAUGGCUCUGGCAUAGGCUGGCAGCUACAGCUCCGAUUAGACCCCUAGCCUGGGAACCUCCAUAUGCCGCAGGAGCGGCCCAAGAAAAGGCAAAAAAACAAAAACAAAGAAAAAAAAAAUAAUGUUUGAUGUCAUUUAUCCAGAAAAAAUUAAGAUAGAUAGGAUUGAAAUAGAUCAUUGAAUUGGGCUGGAAGAUGACUAUUGAUGACCUUUUACCAAAAAGCUGGUAACCCUCAAGAGAAUGAAGCUAUAUUAUCCAGACAUCUUUCAGACCCACUGAAAGGAGCCUCUUUCUUCUACGUCCCUGCUACCUCUGCUGUCAUGUGCACACACAGAAAAAUCAAAACCACCAAAUUCUGAUUUAGAUACAUUGGCCAUUAUAUGUUCAACUCUACCUAAAUAGCUCAUUAUUCACUGCUUUGGUAUUUCAUUGAUUUUCACUGUCCAUUUGCCCUCUUUCAGAAAGCAAUGUUAUUACUUCUUUAAGGUGUCCCCAGUACCUGACAACUGCAGAACAUCUAAUUAUAUACAUAAGUCUUGAAAAGUAUUGUUGAACUUUGUUUACUAAGCUAUUUCUAUAUUUUAAAAAUUACAUAACAGUUCUCAAUUAUCAUGUUCCACUUUUUCUCAUUACUUUUUCAUUCUUAUAAAUAUGUAUAUUUAUCAGAAGAGCCAUUGAUUAAUUGGUUAAUGCAUCCUAUCCAUGAUCUCUGUGAUCUGUUCCUUUUUUUCCCCUUUUACUUCAUCUACAGUACUUAUUUCUGUAAUAUUUCUUUGCUUUCAUCACACCAGUUUAUUUUUCUCUUUUCUGCUGCUCUCAUCUCAGCCAAUAAUAUGUUGCAGAGGCAUUUGAAAAUGAGGAUGAAAAGAAAUCACUAUAUUUAGCCAAUCAGGUUUAUUCUACUGAGUGUCACCAUUUUUAUUUUGAAUAUAUUCAUUGUUUCAACAUCGUUGGACAGUCAGGAAAAAUACCAUUAACUCUUACUGGUUAUUUUAUAACUGAUUGAAAAUGCAACUUUUCAGUAUUACCUAUGCUGACUUUAGACUAAUUUUUCAGUUCACAGAAACACUCAGCAGAAGAUACAGAGAGUUCCUACACAUGCACAAUUCCCCCCCUCCCCGCCCCCACCGCCACUAUCAACAUCCCAUACCACAACAGAAUAUUUGUUACAGUUAAUGAAUUUUUACUGACAUGCCAUUAUCACCCAAAGUCCGUAGUUAUGUGACAAUUUACUCUUGGUGGUGUACAUGCUGUGGGUUUGGACAAACAUAUAAUGACUUGUAUCCACCAUUUGAGUAUCAUACAGAAUAGCUUCACUGCUCUAAAAACCCUCCAUCCUCUUCCUACUCAUCCUUCUUUUUUCUCUUAACCUCUGGCAAUCUCUCAUGUUUUGCCUUUUCCAGAAUAUCAUGAAGUUGGACUUAUUCAGUAUGUUGCCUUUUCGGGUUGCCUUCUUUAAGUUACUAAUAUACAUUUAGGUUCUUUCAUAUCUUUUCAUGGUUUGAUAGCAUAUUUCUUUUUUUUUUCAAAUUAAGACUUUAUUUUUUUAGUUUUAGGUUCACAGAAAAAUUGGAGGGUGGGUACAGAAAUUUGCCAAAUACUCCUCACCCCCACACAUGUGUGGUGUCCCUCAUUAUCAAUAUGCCUUGCCAAAGGGGAACAUUUGUUACAAUUGUAAUUACCUACAUGGCAGAUCAUAAUCACUUAGAGUUCAUAGUUUAUAUUACCGUUCACUCUUGGUUUUGUACAUUCUAUGCAUGACAUGUAUCCAUCAUUAUGGUAUCAUGCAAAAUAUUUUCACUACCCCCAUAUUUUCCAUGCUCCACCUUUCCAUGUUUAUUACUCCAUCCAGCCCCUGAAAAUCACUGAUCUUUUUAUUAUCUCCAUAUUUUUGCCUUUUCCAGAAGGUUAUAUAGUUAGAAUAAUUCAGUAUGUUGUCAUUUUUAAAUUGGCUUCUUUCACUUAGUAAUAUCCAUUUAACAUUCCUGCAUGCCUUUACAUGCAUUUUUAAGUGCUUAAUAAUAUUCCAUUAUCUGAAUAUAACAUUAUUUAUCCAUUCACAUACUAAAGGAAAUCUUGGUUGCAUCUAAAUUUUAGCAAUUGUGAAUAAAGCUUCUGUAAUACAUCCAUGUGCAUGUUUUUGUGUGGCGUUUUCAGCUCUUUUGGAUAAAUUCCAAAGAGUAUGAUUGCUGGAUUAUAUGAUAAGAGUACGUUUAAGUUUACGAGAAACCACCAAACUGUCUUCCAAAUGGCUGUGCCAUUUUGCAUUCCCACCAACAGUGAAUAAAGAUUCCUAUUGCUCCACAUCCUUGCCAGCUUUUGGUGUUAUCAGUGUUUUGGGCAUUCAUCAUUCUAAUAAGGUGUGUAAAGGUAUAUCACUGCUGUUUUAAUUUGCAUUUCUCUGAUGACAUAUGGUGUAGAACAUCUUUUCAUAUAUUUAUUUGCCAUCUCUAUUUCAUAUUUGGUGAGAGAUCUGUUCCAAUGUCUGCUGAUUUUUUAUUCAAACUGUUUUUUUAAUAUUGAGUUUUAAGUGUUUUCUCUAUAUUUUGGAAAUAGUUCUUUAUCAGCUAUGUCUUCUGCAAAUAUUUUCAUCCAAUUUAUGGCUUGUCUAUUCUCUUGAUAGUGCCUUUCACAGAGCAGAAGUUUUUAAUUUUAAUGAAAUCCAACUUAUUUUUUUCUUGGAUCAUACCUUUGGUAUUAUAUCUAAAAGUCAUCACUAAACCCAAGGUCAUCAAGAUUUUCUCCUAUUUUACCUUCUAGGAAUUUUAUCGUUUUGCCUUUUUACAUUUGGGUCUGUAAUUCAAUUUGAGUUAGUUUUUGUAAAGGGGUAUGCAGCCUUUGUCAGGAUUCAUUUUUUUAUGUGUGGAUAUCUAGUGCUUCUAGCACUAUUUGUUAAAAAGACUAUCUUUUCUCCAUUAUAUUGCCUUACUCCCUUGGUCAAAGAUCAGUUGACUGUAUUUAUGUAGACCUGUUUCUGGGUUCUGUAUUCUGUUCCAUUGAUCUAUUUGUCUAUUCCUUUGCCAGCACCACAAUGUCUUAAUUACUGUAACUUUAUAGUAUGUCUUAAAGUCAGAUAAUGUCAGAUUCCAAAUUUGUUCUUGUCAUUCAAUACUGUGCUGCUAUUCUGUUCUUUUACCUUUCCAUAUAAACAUUUGAAUCUGUUUUUUAUCAUCCGCAAAGUAACAUGCUAAGAUUUUCAGUGGGAUCACAUUGAAUCUAUAGAUCAAGUUGGAAAGAACUGACAUCUCAACAAUAUUGAAACUUCCUAUCCAUAAUCAUAGAAUAUCUCUCUAUUUGGUUCUUUGAUUUCUUUCAUCAGAGUUUUAUGUGUAUAGGUAUAUUUGUAUAUAUUUAGACAUCCUUUUUAUCCUCAUCAUUUUAACUUAAUUUAUUAAAUGGGACCUCCUUAAGGACUUUUUUCUUUUCUUUUCUUUUUCUACAAAUAAGGCUAUGGGGUGGCAUUCUUAGUUUGAAUCCAGAGGGAAAUAGUAAGAGUUCCUUUCGCAGAAAUCCUGUUACAUCUCGAUGGCUUGGGUAAAGCAUUAACCAAGUCACCAGCUUUACUCCUGUACCUACCCAGGUAGUAGAAAAGGGGAUUCUAGG